This 4031-nucleotide long non-coding RNA is filed under the name Taeniopygia guttata (zebra finch). RNAcentral's name for it is "lncRNA (ENSTGUG00000018933.1)". The record is from RNAcentral. Lineage: Eukaryota; Metazoa; Chordata; Aves; Passeriformes; Estrildidae.
AUGCAGGAGAGCUACGAGGCGCUGAUGCUGCUGGAUUUCCCCGUCGCCAGGCCCAACCUCGUGUCCCGGCCGGAGCCCGAGGAGGAGUUGGGGGUGCCGGACCCCAACGACUCGAAGGAGUGGCAGAUCCUCAGGGUGGCCCCCCCAGGUGAGCCCCGACCCCCUUUCCUUCCUCAUUUUUAUCCCCAAAUCCCUUUUUUUUUCCUUUAUCCCCUUUUUUUUUCCCCUCAUACAUUUUAUCUUUUUUAUUCCCUUUUUUGCUCCUCAUCCCUUUUUUCCCCUUUAUCCCCUUUUCCCCAAAUUCUCUAUUUCCCCCAUUUUUUCCCCAAAUCCCUUUUUUCUCCUUUAUUCCCGUUUAUUUUCUCCCCAUCCCCCUUUUUCCCCAAAUCCCUUUUCCCCCUUAUCCCCCUUUUUUUUUCUCACAUUUCCACAUUAUUUUCCCCAUUUUUCCCCAUUUCCCCCACCCCAAAUUUUCCCUCUUUUCCCCAAAUUUCCUCCGAAUUUUCCCAUUAUCCCCCAUUCCCACCGAUUACCCCAAAUCUCCCCAAAUUCCGCCAAAUUCCCUCCGAAUUUUCCCAUCAUCCCCCACUCCCACCGAUUACCCCAAAUUUCCCCAAAUUUUCCCAAAUUCCCCCAAAUUCCCUCCGAAUUUUCCCAUCAUCCCCCAUUCCCACAGAUUACCCCAAAUUUCCCCAAAUUCCCCCAAAUUUCCGCUCUCCGCAGACUCCGCCCCCCCCGAGCGACGAUGACUCCGCCCCCGCCGAUGACUCCGCCCCCGAGGCCGAAGUCUCCGCCCCUCCCCCCACGCCCGACUCCCUCCUCCUCCUCCUCCUCCCCUCCCCCUCCCCGUCCCCUCCCCCCGCCCCGCCCCUCCCCCCUCCGGGUGGGCGUGGCUCCCGCCGGGGGCGUGGCCUCCGCGCUCACCUGGGCCGCCGCGCGCACCUGGGCGGGUUCGGCCACGCCCCCCCGCCGGCCACGCCCACACAGCGGCCACGCCCCCCGGGGAGGGGCCAACGGGGGCGGGGCCAGCGGGGGCGGGGCGCUCACCUGAGCCCCCUCACCUGCGCGGAGUGUGGGCGGGGCUUCCGCUACAGCUCCGCCCUCCUGAAGCACCGCCACGCCCACGGGGAGGAGCCCGAGGGCCGCCGGAGGAGGAGGAGGAGGAGGAAGGCGGCGCCCGGGCACACCUGCGGCCGCUGCGGGGCGGGGCUGGGGCGGGGACACGCCCUCCUGGCGCACCUGAGCGGCCACGCCCCAGACACGCCCCUGCGCUGGGACACGCCCCCGGGCUGUGACACGCCCACCGGUGACACGCCCCUCACCUGUGACACACCUGGCGUCUGUGACACGCCCCUCACCUGUGACACGCCACUCACCUGUGACACGCCCCUGGGCUGGGACACGCCCACCAUGGGGGACACGCCCACAGGUGACACGCCCCUCACCUGUGACACGCCUGAGGUUGGGGCCACGCCCCUCACCUGCGCGGAUUGUGGGAGGGGCUUCGGGGGAAGCUCCGCCCUCAUCCGGCACCAGCGGCUGCACCUGGGCUGAACGGACCGGAACUGGAACCGGAACCGGAACCGGAACCAGGACUGGGAAAAUCCGGAACCGGGGAGAAUCCAGAACUGGAACCGGGACCAGGGAAACUCCGGCACGGGAACUGGGACCUGGACCUGAACUGGGACCAGGCAAAAUACGGAACCGGGACCGGGACCGGGACUGGGAAAGAACCAGAACCAGGACUGGAACCGGAACCGGGACCAGGGAAAAUCCGGAACCGGAACUGGAACCAGAACCGGGACCAGGGAAACUCCGGAACUGGAACUGGGGACCUGGACUGGGGCCAGGGAAACUCUGGAACUGGAACUGGGACUGGGACACAGCCAGAACCAGGACUGGAACCAGAACCGGGACUGGAACCGGAACCGGAACCGGGACUGGAACCGGGACUGGGGAAACUCCAGAACUGGAACUGGGACCAAGAAAACUCCGGAACCGGAACUGGGACCUGGACUGGGAAACAACUGGAACUGGAUUCCUCUGGAACCAGACCGGGACCGGAACCGGGACUGGGAAACCUCCGGAACCGGGACCGGGGCCCCCCCCGGGCCGGUGGGGCAGGAGGGGAAAGGACUCGGGGACGUUUCCGUGCCCGCGGUUUGGGGGGGGCCCAGGACCCCCAGAUCCGUUCCAGCCCCCCCCGAUCCAUUCCGGACCUUUGGAAUCCAUUCCUGACCUUUGGAAUCCAUUCUGAACCCCCAAAAAUCCAUUCCGGACCUCCCAAAACCCAUUCCGGACCUCUGAAAUCCAUUCCAGACUUCCCAAAUCCAUUUUGGACACCCCAAAUCCAUUCCGGACCUCCCAAAUCCAUUCCAGACUUCCCAAAUCCAUUCUGGACCCCCAAAAAUCCAUUCCGGGCCACUUUGAAUCCAUUCCGGACCCCCAAAAAUCCAUUCCGGGCCACUUUGAAUCCAUUCCGGACCUCCCAAAAUCCAUUCCGGACCUCUGAAAUCCAUUCCAGACCUCCAGAAUCCAUUCCAGCCCCCCCAAAAUCCAUCCCGGACCCCCCGAAUCCAUUCCGGACCUUUGGAAUCCAUUCCGGACACCCCAAAUCCAUUCCAGACCUCCCAAAUCCAUUCCAGACUUCCGAAAUCCAUUCUGGACCCCCAAAAAUCCAUUCCGGACCUCUGAAAUCCAUUCCAGACCUCCCAAAUCCAUUCCAGACCACCCUGAAUCCAUUCCAGACUUCCCAAAUCCAUUCCGGACCCCCAAAAAUCCAUUCCGGACCUCUGAAAUCCAUUCCAGACCUCCAGAAUCCAUUCCAGCCCCCCCAAAAUCCAUUCCGGACCCCCCGAAUCCAUUCCGGACACCCCAAAUCCAUUCCAGACUUCCCAAAUCCAUUCCAGACUUCCGAAAUCCAUUCUGGACCCCCAAAAAUCCAUUCCGGACCACUUUGAAUCCAUUCCGGACACCCCAAAUCCAUUCCGUACCUCUGAAAUCCAUUUCAGACCUCCAGAAUCCAUUCCGGACCUUUGGAAUCCAUUCCUGACCCAGGGAAUCCAUCCCGGGCCACCCUGAAUCCAUUCCAGACCUCUGAAAUCCGUUCCAGCCCCCCCAAAAUCCAUCCCGGACCCUCGGCUGACCCCUCCCCUCCCCCGCUCCGCUGCUCGGGACCCCUCCGGUGUCACCGGGGGGGACAAAAAUUGGGGAAAACGACCCCAAAAUCUCCUGGGGGGGGUGUCCCGCCCCUCCCCCACAGUAAAGACCCUCCAUGUCCGCCGGCCGCAGUGGGAUCUGUGCCCCUCCCCCUCCCCAAAAAACAAUUUGGGAUUUUGGGGAGGGGUCGCGGUGGGGGAGGGGUCGUGGUGGGGGAGGGGGGGUGGGCACAGCGCUAAAACCGCCCCUCCCCCCCCCCCAUAAAUGAAACCGGGCUGAAUUUUAGGGGGUGGGGGCGGGGCCUGGGGGUUUUGGGGGGGUCUUUUCACCCCCUCCCCCCACCCCACCCCCAUAAAAACAUUUCGGGGAGGGGUCGCGGUGGGGGAGGGGUCGCGGUGGGGGAGGGGGGGAUGGGCACAGCGCUAAACCCGCCCCUCCCCCAUUAAAUCGAACCGGGUUAAAUUUUGGGCGGUGGGGGCGGGGCUGGCGAGGCGGGGGCGGGGCCUGGGGGUGGGGGGGGGUCUGUCCGCCCCCUCCCCCUCCCCAAUUCCCCCUCCCCUCCCCCCCCCGGGGGUUGAACUUCCUGGGUCAGCGCCGCCGCCUUCCCAUUGUCCGAGCGGCGGCGGCGGCGGGGGCGGCCCGGGGGUCGCGGGACCCCCCCCGGCUCCUCCGGGGCUGUUUUUGGGGCGUUUCGGGUUUUUUGGGGUUGGUUGAUUUUGAUUUUUAUUUUUUUGGGGGCGUUUCGGGUUUUUUGGGGUUGGUUGAUUUUGAUUUUUAUUUUUUUGGGGGCGUUUCGGGUUUUUUGGGGUUGGUUGAUUUUUAUUUCUAUUUUUUUGGGGGCGCGGCGAUGUCGCCGAAGCGCUGGAGGGGUG